GUAGUCCACGCCGUAAACGAUGGAUACUCGGUGCUGCGCCGUCAGGUGCAGUGCCUAAGCUAACGCGAUAAGUAUCCCACCUGGGGAGUACGCUCGCAAGGGUGAAACUCAAAGGAAUUGACGGGGGCCCGCACAAGCGGUGGAGCAUGUGGAUUAAUUCGAUGCAACGCGAAGAACCUUACCCAGGCUCGAACGCUGCCGGACAGUCCCUGAAAGGGGAUCUUCUUCGGAUCGGUAGCGAGGUGCUGCAUGGCUGUCGUCAGUUCGUGUCGUGAGAUGUUGGGUUAAGUCCCGCAACGAACGCAACCCCUAUCGUUAGUUACCAGCGGGUCAUGCCGGGGACUCUAACGAGACUGCCUGCGCAAGCAGUGA
Molecule: ribosomal RNA, 372 nt
Filed under: uncultured bacterium
Lineage: Bacteria
Description: bacterial SSU rRNA
Rfam family: Bacterial small subunit ribosomal RNA
Source: RNAcentral